RNAcentral lists this ribosomal RNA (497 nucleotides) under uncultured bacterium. RNAcentral's name for it is "partial 16S ribosomal RNA". It matches the Rfam family "Bacterial small subunit ribosomal RNA", at positions 28 to 507 of the family's 1533-position model. The record is from RNAcentral.
GACGAACGCUGGCGGCGUGCCUAAUACAUGCAAGUUGAGCGCUGAAGGUUGGUACUUGUACCAACUGGAUGAGCAGCGCACGGGUGAGUAACGCGUGGGGAAUCUGCCUUUGAGCGGGGGACAACAUUUGGAAACGAAUGCUAAUACCGCAUAAAAACUUUAAACACAAGUUUUAAGUUUGAAAGAUGCAAUUGCAUCACUCAAAGAUGAUCCCGCGUUGUAUUAGCUAGUUGGUGAGGUAAAGGCUCACCAAGGCGAUGAUACAUAGCCGACCUGAGAGGGUGAUCGGCCACAUUGGGACUGAGACACGGCCCAAACUCCUACGGGAGGCAGCAGUAGGGAAUCUUCGGCAAUGGACGAAAGUCUGACCGAGCAACGCCGCGUGAGUGAAGAAGGUUUUCGGAUCGUAAAACUCUGUUGGUAGAGAAGAACGUUGGUGAGAGUGGAAAGCUCAUCAAGUGACGGUAACUACCCCGAAAGGGACGGCUAACUACGUG